This 1154-nucleotide long non-coding RNA is filed under the name Heterocephalus glaber (naked mole-rat). RNAcentral's name for it is "lncRNA (ENSHGLG00100039791.1)". The record is from RNAcentral. Lineage: Eukaryota; Metazoa; Chordata; Mammalia; Rodentia; Bathyergidae.
CUAAAAUACUUUUUAGAUGACCCUGAUAUGUACAUUGAGGUCUUUAGAGGACCUACUCAGACCUAUGGCCUAGAUUGAAAAGAUGUAAUGUUGCUCUUAAAUCCAACAUUGAUUUCUAAUGAGAAAUAAGUAGUAUUACAAGCUGUUACUACAUACAGAGACAGAUAUUUUAAUUUUGGAAGCUCAAAAAGACAGGCAUCCAGGGAAACAAUUGGUUUCUACUAGAAUACAAGCAGUUCCUAUACAAGACCCCCACUGGCCUGCCAAUCAGAUACGAGAUUAAAUAGAAGACAUUUUCAGGCAUGUAUUCUUGACGGUCUAAUAAACAUUAGAACUCAGUCCUUCAAUUAUUUUAAAUUGUCAACUUUUUAUCAGGAAAAAUAAGACAUCUCUACAUCCUGAUUUGAUUAAAGGAAAUACUAUCGUUUUUCCCAAGUCAGAGUCUUGCAAUAUGUAGAUGGUAUGCUGUUAUGUGUCCCCUCAGAAGAGCUUUCUAGCCAAGACAUCUGCUCUGCUGAAUUUUCUGACAGGGGUUAUAAUAUUUCUAGAUCGAAGGCACAACUUUGCAGCCUUGAGCUCAAGACUCUAAAACAGCUAAGGACAUUCAUGGAAAUUACAGGCUUUUGUGGCCUUCAGAUAGUAAUAUAUAGUGAGAUUUCGCGACCCAUCUAUUAGCUUAUAGAAAAGCCCAAGAGACAGACACCUGGGAACUUCAUUCCCAGACCUCAUUCCACAAGUUCAAACAAGCACUUCGAAGUGCCUACCUACAGGACACUGUUUCAGUCUGUAUAUUAAUAAAAGGAAAAACUGUCACAGGUAGACAUCUGCAGCACGGCAGGUUGGAGCCUUGCCAGGCCUUCUUCCCUCACUGCGUGGAAUUUGUACUUACCUCCAAAGAGUGUCACCUAGUCUCUUCUACAUCCAAACCUGGCCUGAGCGGACCCCACUGGAGAUAGUGCAGGCUACUUCUGCUCCCUCCUACUAUGGACUAGACUCUUGACUUGCUUCCAGUGGAUAGAAAGAGGCGGGAAGGAAGGUGUGAAAGACCACCAAGGCCCAAUGGCUUCCUCCUUGCUCUCCUGCAUCUGGGCUCUCUCACUUUGGGAGAAACCAGCAACCAUGCGGUGAGGAUGCUCAGACAGCUCCCCAGAGAC